UUAAGGACAAUUACAAGGAGCCAAAAGAAUCGAGCUACAAAACAGAAGCAUGUUCGUCAUGCGAACUGCAGCAAACCAAUUAAACGAUUGGAGACGAGAAGAAGCAUUGCACGUGGAGGCGGCAUUUAUUUUUCCAACAGACGGAAUAGGCAAUGGUGCUAUUAGACGUCCGGAAGUCGGAUACCCUAAAGUCAAAUAUAAACUGGGGUCCACUCGAAUUUAACAGUAUCACAUAACAAUACCUCACUUACCCACCUUUUUAAAUCUGUUUUUGGGAUGUCGUUGAUAAAUAAUACCCGAAAUAUUGUAAAACGUGAAGAAAAUAUAACAAAAUUACAUUUUAUUGCUUGUCCUUAGGCCCUAAGGCUUAGGGUAACCACUUGCAAAUCUUACUUUGCACUCGUUAGUUGUGCUACCAAGAAAUCAGCCGUGCUGAAAUUCAAUAUAAACACGGUUGUCCGAGUGUGAAGUAUGGCACGUGGCACACUAGCUAUACCUACAAUACUGCUGAGGCCGUAAAGAAUUUUAAAAGUUGUAAUAUCAGUUAAUUUGUUUGCGUUUUUAACGAGCACGGCAAAGUUUAAGUGUUUUGGUUUUAUCGUUAUUUUGGCAUUUUUUCCCUUCAUCAUCUGUCGAUGAUCCAUAUCGAAGACCGAAAUGCCGAUAAUUGAGACUAAAAGGCUAAAAGUUCGACGCCGUGGAAAGUUAUGCUUGAGUUAUGGUUUCCACCCCACCCUAAAACGACGUCGUAACUGCGACAAUAAAAUGUGUGAUACGAUGUAAAUGAUGUCCGUCGAUUUUGUCGUCUGUCAGUGUGAGUUCCUUACACGGUGAGUACGAUACCGCGCAAGUAAUGUAUAAUAAUUUAUGUAAGUAUAAUACAGUAGUAAUUUACUCGCGGACACACGACAACCCAAAGAGUAUUAUAUUAUGCUG
Cinara cedri is the source of this 936-nucleotide non-coding RNA. Lineage: Eukaryota; Metazoa; Arthropoda; Insecta; Hemiptera; Aphididae. The record is from the annotation of a GenBank genome assembly.